UCGAAUAAACUUGAACAGGCUGUUGCUGGUCCUUUGGAGGGCAUGUGCACGCUUGGUCAUCUCUUAUUCCUCCCAAAAUCGUGCACUCAUUGUAGACCCUCCUAUUAUGAGGGACUGCUGUGCUUUUUCAAGGCCGGCUUUCCCUUGCUUGGGUCUAUGUUCUUACUUUUUCACAAAGUCUUAGAAUGUUAUGGGUUAUAAAAAUAUAUAUAUA
Molecule: unclassified non-coding RNA, 214 nt
Filed under: uncultured Agaricomycetes
Lineage: Eukaryota; Fungi; Basidiomycota; Agaricomycetes
Description: sequence contains ITS1
Source: RNAcentral